AACGCACAUUGCGCCCGCUAGUAAUCUGGCGGGCAUGCCUGUCUGAGCGUCAUUACACCACUCGCUCCCGGCGCCUGUCGGGGGCGGCGUUGGGGAUCGGCCGCCCGUCACUGGGAGGCCGGCCCCUAAAUUCAGUGGCGACCGCGCCGUAGCCUCCUCUGCGUAGUAGUAACUCACCUCGCGGGCGGAGAGCGGUGCGGCCCGCCGUAAAAACCCCCCCAACUUUCUCAGGUUGACCUCAGAUCAGGUAGGAAUACCCGCUGAACUUAA
Molecule: unclassified non-coding RNA, 270 nt
Filed under: uncultured fungus
Lineage: Eukaryota; Fungi
Description: partial contains 5.8S ribosomal RNA, internal transcribed spacer 2, and large subunit ribosomal RNA
Rfam family: 5.8S ribosomal RNA (bases 1-52)
Source: RNAcentral